UACAGAGGUGGCAAGCGUUGUUCGGAAUUACUGGGCGUAAAGGGCGCGUAGGCGGCCUUCUAAGUCAGACGUGAAAUCCCCCGGCUUAACCUGGGAACUGCGUCUGAUACUGGGAGGCUUGAGUAUGGGAGAGGGAUGUAGAAUUCCAGGUGUAGCGGUGAAAUGCGUAGAUAUCUGGAGGAACACCGGUGGCGAAGGCGGUGAUCUGGGCCAGUACUGACGCUGAGGAGCGAAAGCGUGGGUAGCAAACAGG
RNAcentral lists this ribosomal RNA (253 nucleotides) under uncultured bacterium. RNAcentral describes it as "partial 16S ribosomal RNA". It matches the Rfam family "Bacterial small subunit ribosomal RNA", at positions 524 to 776 of the family's 1533-position model. The record is from RNAcentral.